This 75-nucleotide transfer RNA is filed under the name Acidithiobacillales bacterium SM1_46. RNAcentral describes it as "tRNA-Val". It matches the Rfam family "tRNA". From Rfam's summary of the family: Transfer RNA (tRNA) molecules are approximately 80 nucleotides in length. RNAcentral also lists the same sequence under 3 other names. The record is from RNAcentral. Lineage: Bacteria; Pseudomonadati; Pseudomonadota; Acidithiobacillia; Acidithiobacillales.
GGGCGAUUAGCUCAGUGGUAGAGCACCGCCUUCACACGGCGGGGGUCGUAGGUUCGAACCCUACAUCGCCCACCA